Long non-coding RNA from Prunus persica (peach), 2327 nucleotides. RefSeq lists it as uncharacterized. The record is from RefSeq and is a predicted model, not a curated record. The transcript is spliced from 3 exons. Lineage: Eukaryota; Viridiplantae; Streptophyta; Magnoliopsida; Rosales; Rosaceae.
GUUUUUUUUUUGAGUAAGGGUUUUAAAACGCCAACAAGAACCCAGCCCCCAACGCGAAAUUCAUCAUUUCUUACGACUCCUAUAGAAGCCGAACGUGAUGCAGCUCCUUUCUGCUCCAUCAUCCAAUCACUGGUUUUCAUAUUUCAUCAAAGCCCAUUCACUUAGCCACAAAGGAAAGCAAUUUUCAGCAUCUGUCGAAGAAGAUUACCAACUUUCUUCAAUAUUUCUCUCAAUUUUCGCAUGCCCUAGAUCACCCAGGGCUCUUGCUUGUUACCAAGCGCCUUAAUGGUGAUAACUAUCCCACUUGGAAAUGCUCCAUGAUUAUCGCUCUUACAGCCAAGAACAAGAUUGGCUUCGUCAACGACUCCAUCAAAGCGCCUUCGCAAGCAAAGAAACUGGUUGACUUCGUGCCUCUGGGAAAGGUGUGACAAAAUACUGCUUUCUCGACUACUCAAUUUAAUUGAACCCAAAUUGGCAGAAUGGGUUGUUUAUACUGCCUCAAAUUAUAAGAACGUAGGAAAGAAACUUAUAGAAAAGAGAAAGAAAUUGUAGUGGACUUCGUGUGCAGCCCAUUGUAUUGACUUGAUGCUGGAAGAUAUCAGUAAGUUGAAAGAUAUCAACAACAAAUGGUGUUUAUGUGGCUGUGGGGAAGACCACAAUUCAGUAAAUAUGGUUGACAUCAUAUUGCAGGUUGAGAAAGUAUAAAACCCAUAUCAUUAGCAGGGCCACCCAGAUAACGAGCAUGUAGGAGACAUUGUAACUGACAAUGGCGAGUGCACACCAUAACAGUGUCAUUCUGAUGAUGCUAAAGGAAAAAAGCACGAAACCCAAAGUGCCCCCAGAUUUUGCUGGGUUUCCUAACAGCAUUUCCAUGGCAUAUGGCAAGGAGAAGAAAGGGUUGUUACUAUCCAUAUGAAUAGUGACCAUCCUAGCAAAUUUUUUUUUUCUUUGUUUUUCCUCUCAUUUCCAUGGAAAAGGACAAUCACUAUUCACAUGAAAUUAAUUUUUGGUAUUAUACUUACAAGAUUUAUUUUCAUAAGAUUUUCAAUUGUCAUGUGUCUAUAUUCAUUAUAAAAUUCACAUCUCGUAUUUCGAAUAAAAUAUUCGGUUAAGAUUUUCGGACACGUGUCCAUAUGUAUUCACAUCUUAGAUUUCGGAUAUGAUUUUCGGUUGCUACUAUUAUAUUUCGGUUGCCACGUGUCAUCUUUUUCUUCUAAAUCCUACUAUAAAACCACACCCUCAACUCACACUAAUCAUCCUUAUCCUCUUUAUCCUUUUAUUUCUCAAAUUUUACAAAAUACAUUCUGCUCUUAAUGUCUAACAUGAGGAGGUUGUUGGAGAGGGCCGAGUGAGAAAAUGAAGAAAAAUGCGUAAACGUGCUGAAGAAGAAAAGAAGUGGGAAGCACAUAACAAUCAAGUUAUUUUAGUAAUGAGUAUGGUCGAUCAAUCAAGCAAACACCACAGUGGUUCACAAUCCAGCCAUGGCCCAAACGUGGACAGGCAUAGACACUCUCAGAAGUGCGAUGCUGUUUUGGGUCUUCUUCUGGAGCAAAAACUUACAACUUCCUUACGAAUGCGUGGCGCAUUUGCAGUGGAUGAAAUUGCUAGGAUGGGGAAAUCCACUAUCCUAGAGUGCUUAGUUAGAUUCUGUGAUGCAAUCGAAACUCUCUACACGAGGGACUAUCUCUGCAAACCUAAGCCUACGGACUUCCAAAGGCUUAUGCAAAAAGUCGAGGUUUGAGGUUUCCCAGACAUGAUUAGAAGCAUCGACUGUAUGCACUGGCAGUGGAAGAAUUGUCCAACUGCAUGGCAAGGAGAUUAUGAGAAUAGGAAGGGCAAAAAAAGUAUCAUUCUAGAGGUUGUUGUAUUAUUCGAUACCUGCGUUUGGCUUGCCUUUUUGGGAGUUACGGGAUCUCAAAACUACCUUAACGUGCUUGAUCAAUCUCUAGUGUUCAAUGAUAUGUUGAGAGGACAUUCCCUUCAGAUCACAUAUCAAAUCAACAAUACCAUCUACUCAAGUGAGCACUACCUAUCUCUUGGUCUUUAAAGAAGCAAGUCGGUGUAUCUCGUAGUCCUAUUAAAGCAGAGUACAAGCCUUGGCUCAUUGUGCAGCUAAUAUUUUCUUGAUACUUCAAUUAUUAUGUGAUCUGGGGACAUUGCUAUUCCUGAAGCUCCAUUAUUGCACAGUGAUAAUCUCUAAGCCUUAGCUUUCAGUGCUAAUCUCCAAUGUUCCACUCUUGCAUUAAACACUUACACAUUGACUUUCAUUUCAUUCGUGAAAGGGUUCAAUGUAAAGAUUUGAGGAGUCAAUAUAUUCCUUCUGAUGA